RNAcentral lists this small RNA (170 nucleotides) under Streptomyces sp. RNAcentral describes it as "c-di-AMP sequence". It matches the Rfam family "c-di-AMP riboswitch aptamer (ydaO/yuaA leader)". Rfam says of the family: This family represents a conserved RNA structure found upstream of the ydaO and yuaA genes in Bacillus subtilis and related genes in other bacteria. The ydaO/yuaA element is thought to act as a genetic "off" switch for the ydaO and yuaA genes in its native state. Lineage: Bacteria; Bacillati; Actinomycetota; Actinomycetes; Kitasatosporales; Streptomycetaceae. The record is from RNAcentral.
GACGCGCAAGCGCCGAAGGCAGGAGCGGGGGACCCAAGGUAAGUGCCGACCCCGCCCGUGAGAGCGGGUCAGUCGGCUUGGGGUGAAGUCGUGUGUGCAGCACACACGGCCGGGCAGCUCACACGGCCCGAACCCGACAGCUCACCUCGUAGGCGUCGGUGAGGAAACGA